RNAcentral lists this ribosomal RNA (500 nucleotides) under uncultured bacterium. Its description in RNAcentral is "partial 16S ribosomal RNA". It matches the Rfam family "Bacterial small subunit ribosomal RNA", at positions 30 to 523 of the family's 1533-position model. The record is from RNAcentral.
AUUGAACGCUGGCGGAAUGCUUUACACAUGCAAGUCGAACGGCAGCACGGACUUCGGUCUGGUGGCGAGUGGCGAACGGGUGAGUAAUGUAUCGGAACGUGCCCAGUCGUGGGGGAUAACGUAGUGAAAAUUACGCUAAUACCGCAUACCAUCUAUGGAUGAAAGCGGGGGAUCGCAAGACCUCGCGCGAUUCGAGCGGCCGAUAUCAGAUUAGGUAAUUGGUGGGGUAAAGGCCCACCAAGCCAACGAUCUGUAGCUGGUCUGAGAGGACGACCAGCCACACUGGAACUGAGACACGGUCCAGACUCCUACGGGAGGCAGCAGUGGGGAAUUUUGGACAAUGGGCGAAAGCCUGAUCCAGCCAUUCCGCGUGCAGGAUGAAGGCCCUCGGGUUGUAAACUGCUUUUGUACAGAACGAAAAGGUUUCUACUAAUACUAGGAGCUCAUGACGGUACUGUAAGAAUAAGCACCGGCUAACUACGUGCCAGCAGCCGCAGUAA